CAACUUUCAACAACGGAUCUCUUGGUUCUGGCAUCGAUGAAGAACGCAGCGAAAUGCGAUACAGUAGUGUGAAUUGCAGAAUUCAGUGAAUCAUCGAAUCUUUGAACGCACAUUGCGCCCUUUGGUAUUCCAAAGGGCAUGCCUGUUCGAGCGUCAUUU
RNAcentral lists this ribosomal RNA (159 nucleotides) under Curvularia hawaiiensis. RNAcentral's name for it is "5.8S ribosomal RNA". It matches the Rfam family "5.8S ribosomal RNA". Rfam says of the family: 5.8S ribosomal RNA (5.8S rRNA) is a component of the large subunit of the eukaryotic ribosome. It is transcribed by RNA polymerase I as part of the 45S precursor that also contains 18S and 28S rRNA. The record is from RNAcentral. Lineage: Eukaryota; Fungi; Ascomycota; Dothideomycetes; Pleosporales; Pleosporaceae.